AUGUGGAGUAUCAAUGUGCCCACCCCAGGGGCAGAUGCGGGGCCAGAACCUGUGUCUCUUCAACCGCCACCCCACACUAAAUUUCUGCCUGUCACCAGAGAGAUCCACUCUGGAAGGGCCCGUGUCACACAGAACUGCUUGAGGUCCUUUGUGGCCAUGGUUGCAACAGCAGUAACUCAGAAGUUUAUAAUCAAGAGAAAUUUGUCUCCUGGCUCUAGUGAUUGGGAGAGUGACAUGAUGCAGAUGAACUCUAGCCACUGGCUCACCCAGGCUAGCAACAAUGCCUGAACCUCAG
Molecule: long non-coding RNA, 295 nt
Filed under: Meriones unguiculatus (Mongolian gerbil)
Lineage: Eukaryota; Metazoa; Chordata; Mammalia; Rodentia; Muridae
Description: lncRNA (ENSMUGG00000019484.1)
Source: RNAcentral